GGAUGAUAUGAGGAACAUCUUAUACAUUGAUUGCUGAUAUGAUGGCAAUUUAUCAUGUAUUAGCUCUAUCUGAUCAUUC
Molecule: small nucleolar RNA, 79 nt
Filed under: Olea europaea subsp. europaea
Lineage: Eukaryota; Viridiplantae; Streptophyta; Magnoliopsida; Lamiales; Oleaceae
Description: Small nucleolar RNA Z102/R77
Rfam family: Small nucleolar RNA Z102/R77
About the family: Z102 and R77 and are members of the C/D class of snoRNA which contain the C (UGAUGA) and D (CUGA) box motifs.
Source: Rfam by way of RNAcentral